This 1044-nucleotide ribosomal RNA is filed under the name uncultured soil bacterium. Its description in RNAcentral is "bacterial SSU rRNA". It matches the Rfam family "Bacterial small subunit ribosomal RNA", at positions 337 to 1396 of the family's 1533-position model. The record is from RNAcentral.
UCCUACGGGAGGCAGCAGUCGGGAAUUUUGGGCAAUGGGCGAAAGCCUGACCCAGCAACGCCGCGUGAAGGAUGAAGUCUUUCGGGAUGUAAACUUCGUAAGAAUAGGAAGAAUAAAUGACGGUACUAUUUGUAAGGUCCGGCUAACUACGUGCCAGCAGCCGCGGUAAUACGUAGGGACCAAGCGUUGUUCGGAUUUACUGGGCGUAAAGGGCGCGUAGGCGGCGUGACAAGUCACUUGUGAAAUCUCCGGGCUUAACUCGGAACGGUCAAGUGAUACUGUUGUGCUAGAGUGCAGAAGGGGCAAUCGGAAUUCUUGGUGUAGCGGUGAAAUGCGUAGAUAUCAAGAGGAACACCUGAGGUGAAGACGGGUUGCUGGGCUGACACUGACGCUGAGGCGCGAAAGCUAGGGUAGCAAACGGGAUUAGAUACCCCGGUAGUCCUAGCCCUAAACGAUGAAUACUUGGUGUCUGGAGUUUUAAUUCUCCGGGUGCCGUCGCUAACGUUUUUAGUAUUCCGCCUGGGGAGUACGCACGCAAGUGUGAAACUCAAAGGAAUUGACGGGGACCCGCACAAGCGGUGGAGCAUGUGGUUUAAUUCGACGCAACGCGAAGAACCUUACCUGAACUAGAAUGCGAGGGAAGAUUACCUAAUAGUAAUCGUCGGGCAACCGACCCAAAGCAAGGUGCUGCAUGGCUGUCGUCAGCUCGUGUCGUGAGAUGUUGGGUUAAGUCCCGCAACGAGCGCAACCCUCGUUCUAUGUUGCCAGCACGUGAUGGUGGGGACUCAUAGGAGACUGCCGGGGUCAACUCGGAGGAAGGUGGGGAUGACGUCAAAUCAUCAUGCCCCUUAUGUCUUGGGCUUCACGCAUGCUACAAUGGCCAGUACAAAGGGCUGCGAUACCGCAAGGUGGAGCGAAUCCCAAAAAACUGGUCUCAGUUCGGAUUGGGGUCUGCAACUCGACCCCAUGAAGUCGGAGUCGCUAGUAAUCGCAGAUCAGCAACGCUGCGGUGAAUACGUUCCCGGGCCUUGUACACACCGCCAU